UUAACUGACGCUAAAGCUCGAAAGUGCGGGUAUCGAACAGGAUUAGAUACCCUGGUAGUCCGCACGGUAAACGAUGGAUGCCCGCUGUUGGCGAUAUAUUGUCAGCGGCCAAGCGAAAGCGUUAAGCAUCCCACCUGGGGAGUACGCCGGCAACGGUGAAACUCAAAGGAAUUGACGGGGGCCCGCACAAGCGGAGGAACAUGUGGUUUAAUUCGAUGAUACGCGAGGAACCUUACCCGGGCUUGAACUGCCAGCGAACGAUACAGAGAUGUUGAGGCCCUUCGGGGCGCUGGUGGAGGUGCUGCAUGGUUGUCGUCAGCUCGUGCCGUGAGGUGUCGGCUUAAGUGCCAUAACGAGCGCAACCCCUCUCGCCAGUUGCCAUCAGGUGAUGCUGGGCACUCUGGCGACACUGCCACCGUAAGGUGUGAGGAAGGUGGGGAUGACGUCAAAUCAGCACGGCCCUUACGUCCGGGGCUACACACGUGUUACAAUGGGUGGUACAGAGAGUCAAUCCCCAGCAAUGUGGAUUCAAUCCUUAAAGCCAUCCUCAGUUCGGAUUGGGGUCUGCAACCCGACCCCAUGAAGCUGGAUUCGCUAAUA
Molecule: ribosomal RNA, 600 nt
Filed under: uncultured bacterium
Lineage: Bacteria
Description: bacterial SSU rRNA
Rfam family: Bacterial small subunit ribosomal RNA
Source: RNAcentral